RNAcentral lists this small nuclear RNA (106 nucleotides) under Puma concolor (puma). Lineage: Eukaryota; Metazoa; Chordata; Mammalia; Carnivora; Felidae. RNAcentral also lists the same sequence under 2 other names. The record is from RNAcentral.
GUGCUCAUUUCAACAGCACGUAUACUAAAAUUGGAAUGAUACAGAGAAGAUUAGCAUGGCCUCUGUGCAAGGAUGACAUAAAAAGAAGGAAACCUUGCAUUUUGUG